Molecule: ribosomal RNA, 2126 nt
Filed under: Carnegiea gigantea
Lineage: Eukaryota; Viridiplantae; Streptophyta; Magnoliopsida; Caryophyllales; Cactaceae
Description: bacterial LSU rRNA
Rfam family: Bacterial large subunit ribosomal RNA
Source: RNAcentral
UCAAACGAGGAGAGGCAUACGGUGGAUCCUUAGGUACCCAGAGACGAGGAAGGGCGUAAUAAUCGACGAAAUACUUCGGGGAGUUGAAAAAAAGCAUAGAUCUGGAGAUUCCCGAAUAGGUCAACCUUUCGAACUGCUGUUGAAUCCAUGGGCAGGCAAGAGACAACUUGGUGAAUUGAAACAUCUUAGUAGCCAGAGGAAAAGAAAGCAAAAGCGAUACCUGUAGUAGCGGCGAGCAAAAUGGGAGCAGCCUAAACUGUGAAAACGGGGUUGUGGGAGAGCAAUACAAGCAAGCGUCGUGCUGCUAGGCAAAGCAGGGGAAUAACGCACCCUAGAUAGUUAGAGUCCAGUAGCCGAAAGCAUCACUAGCUUGUGCUCUGGCCCGAGUAGCAUGGGGCAUGUAGAAUCCCGUGUAAAUCAACAAGUACCACCUUGCAAGGCUCAAUACUCUUGGGUGACCGAUAGCGAAGUAGUGCCGCGAGAGAAGGGUGAAAAGAACCCCCAACAGGGAGUGAAAUUUAGAACAUGAAAUCGUAAGCUCUCAAGCAGUGGGAGGAACGAAGUGGCUCUGAUCGCGUACCUGUUGAAGAAUGAACCGGCGACUGAUAGGCAGUGGCUUGGUUAAGGAACCCACCAGAGCCGUAGUGAAAGUGAGUCUUCUUAGGGUAAUAGUCAUUACUUAUAGAACCGAACCUGGGUGAUCUAUCCAUGACUAUGAUGAAACUUGGAUGAAACUAAGUGGUGGUCCGAACGGACUGAUGUUGAAGAAUCAGCAGAUGAGUUGUGGUUAGGGGUGAAAUGCCACUCGAACCCAGAGCUAGCUGGUUCUCCCUGAAAUACGUUGAGGCGUAACAGUUGACUAGACAUCUAGGGGUAUAGCAUUGUUUUGGUGCGGCCACAAGAACGGUACCAAAUCGAGGCAAACUCUAAAUACUAUAUAUGACCUCCGAAUAACAGGGGUCAAGGUCGGCCAGUAAGCGAUAGGGGAUAAGCUUCAUCGUCGAGAGGGAAACAACCCGGAUCACCAGCCAAGGGCCGUAAAUGACCGUUUAGUGAUAAAGGAGGUAGGAGUACAGAGACAGCCAGGAGGUUUGCCUAGAAGCAGCCACCCUUGAAAGAGUGCGUAAUAUCUUACUGAUUGAGCGCUCUUACAUCGAAGAUGAACGGGGCUAAACGAUCUACCGAAGCUGUGGGAUGUGAAAAACAUUGGUAGGGGAGUGUUCUGCCUUAGAAGCAAGAUUCAACGCGAGCCAUAAUAAGAUGAAGCAGAUAUGAGAACGUCGGCUUGAGUAACACAAACAUUGGUGAGUAAUCCAAUGCCCCGAAAACCUAAGGGUUCCGCUGCAAGGUUCAUCCAUAGAGGGUGAGUCAGGGCCUAAGAUCUGGCCAAAAGGUGUAGUCGAUAGACAACAGGUGAAUAUUUCUGUACUACCCUCUUAUUGGUCCCGAGGGAUGGAGGAGGCUAGGUUAGCCAAAAGAUGGUUAUUGGUUCAAGGACACAAGGUAACCCUCCCUAUUUUUUAGGGUAGGUAAGAAGGGGUAGAUAAAAUGCUCCAGCUAAUGUUCGAGUACUAGGCGCCUACGACGCUCAAGUAACCCAUGCUAUACUCCCAAGAAAAGCUCGAACGACCUUUAACAAAGGGGCACUUAUACCCGAAACUGACACAGGUAGGUAGGUAGAGAAUACCUAGGGGCAUGAGACAACUCUCUCUAAGGAACUCGGCAAAAUAGCCCUGCAACUUCGAGAGAAGGGGUGAUCCCUCAGGGGGGCAAAGUGACCAGGCCCGGGCGACUGUUUACCAAAAACACAGGUUUUUGUAAAGUCGUAAGACCAUGCAUCGGGGCUGACGCUUGCCCAGUGCAAGAAGGCGAAGGAAGUUGGUGAUCACCUGAUGACAGGGGAAGGGCCAGCGACCGAAGCUUUAGUGAACGGCGACUGUAACUAUAAUGGCCCUAAGAUAGCAAAAUUUAAUGUCGGGUAAGUUCUGACCCGCACAAAUGGCGUAACGAUUUGGGCAUUGUCUCGGAGAGAGGCUCGGUGAAAUAGACAUGUAUGCGAAGAUGCAGACUACCUACACCAGGACAGAAAGACCCUAUGAAGCUUCACUGUUUCCCGGGAUUGACGU